This 73-nucleotide transfer RNA is filed under the name Thermotoga sp. Its description in RNAcentral is "tRNA-Lys". It matches the Rfam family "tRNA". From Rfam's summary of the family: Transfer RNA (tRNA) molecules are approximately 80 nucleotides in length. Their secondary structure includes four short double-helical elements and three loops (D, anti-codon, and T loops). Further hydrogen bonds mediate the characteristic L-shaped molecular structure. tRNAs have two regions of fundamental functional importance: the anti-codon, which is responsible for specific mRNA codon recognition, and the 3' end, to which the tRNAs corresponding amino acid is attached (by aminoacyl-tRNA synthetases). tRNAs cope with the degeneracy of the genetic code in two manners: having more than one tRNA (with a specific anti-codon) for a particular amino acid; and 'wobble' base-pairing, i.e. permitting non-standard base-pairing at the 3rd anti-codon position. RNAcentral also lists the same sequence under 2 other names. Lineage: Bacteria; Thermotogati; Thermotogota; Thermotogae; Thermotogales; Thermotogaceae. The record is from RNAcentral.
GGCCUGCUAGCUCAGGAGGUAGAGCACUUGAUUUUUAAUCAAGGGGUCGCGGGUUCGAGUCCCGCGCGGGUCA